Molecule: long non-coding RNA, 1571 nt
Filed under: Manihot esculenta (cassava)
Lineage: Eukaryota; Viridiplantae; Streptophyta; Magnoliopsida; Malpighiales; Euphorbiaceae
Description: long non-coding RNA (MESC_LNC000683)
Source: RNAcentral
GGGACUCAAGGUUAACAACAUCAGGGAGUUCUGAAAUCGCCAUAGAAGAACAAGGAAGCGUACCUGAGAAUGAAAUAAGGUAAAAACGCAGAAGGAAUGGCAGGAAGACAGAGAGCAGAAAGGAGUUGUUUUCCUCAGCAGACAGAAGGAAUUCGAAAUGACAGCCAAAUAAUGAAACAGCACUUUAAUCUGUACAGUUUUGUCUUGGAGCGGCGCGAUCAUUGAUUACCCUCGAAAUUUACCCUCCCGACGGUUGGCUAACCGGUGGGAAGGUAAAGGGGGCAAAAAGAGGGGAAGAAGGAUGACCGCUGGGCUUCUCUGCACACAACAGGGGCCAAGUCCAUCACAAUGGCCCAGUGCUCAAGGGCCCACGCGCCGCAUAAGAAGCCCAACUCAUCAGUCAAAGUAACCUAGCCCACAAAGAUUUACCUCUUUAUCAAUAAAGGGGAUAAAAGGGGCAAGAGACUCAACAGUACAAGCGAACAGGAGUACAAUCCAGGUCAGACUUGCUUAUUAUUUAGAAAAUUAUAAGUUCUGACGCGAUUGUUAUUAAAAUAAAUACUGAGAGACCGGGGCGCUAAGGACACCUCGGAGUCAUACAGAGCUAAAGGCUCAGAGUUCAACUUAAAAGCAGAGCUCACAGCUCGGUAUUCUAGCUCGAAAAAAGAAAAUCGAAAGCAGAAGCUCACGACUAAGUAUUUUGGCUCGAACAAAUAGGGCUCGCAGAUCGGUCGGAACAGUUCGGAAAGCGUAACUUGAGACCUCGGUCAACCAAAGAAGCACAAAGCUCCAGAUAAGUCCGAAUUCGUAGGUCGGAUAGUACAGCUCGGUGGAGUUAACUGACCUCCCAGUCAGUUGAGUAAGUCUUAAAGCCGAGCUCAUAGACCGGAUAAUACAGCUCGGAAGAGCUGACCGACCUCCCAGUCAGUUAUAUCUUAAGGUCGAGCUCGUAGGUCGGACAGCAUAUCUCGGGGGAGCAAGUCGACCUCCCAAUAAGUUGGGUCAGUCCGGAGCUCGGAUUGUCGACUAAAAGCGAGAGUUCCCAAGUAUUAUUUUAGCUCGGAAGAAAUAAAGUUCAGUUAGUUAGACCUACAAAGAAGACAGUACCAGUACUUCAUCCAAAACAAAGAAAGAAACAGGCUCAAGUAUGAACGAAAAAUAGGAAUUUCAUUAAAAGAAAAGUACAUUACAGAAUGGAAGACUAUCCUUUAAGAAUUUACAUAUCCGGACCUACAUUACAGAAUGGAAGACUAUCCUUAAUGGAUUUACAUAUCCGGGUACUUUGUCAUCUACGAUUACAUCACCUUAACCGACCUCAGCACUCAAGUCUUCAGUCCGGAGGAUACUCCAGCUCGAUAUGUGAGUUCGGCAGAAAAGCCAGGACCUGUCUCAACACUAUAGGGAAACUCCUGACGUUGAUUCACGGAAAACAUUUCACCCAUAGGUCGGCAUUCGGUUGCCCAAAUGCGAUGCAGAAGGCGCGGUGGACCUUGGUUCCGCAUAAUACUGGUACUUCCCACCAAGGCCACGCAGGAUAUAGGUAUUGAACAUUUUUCACUGUUCCAUCAUNN